Molecule: long non-coding RNA, 823 nt
Filed under: Rattus norvegicus (Norway rat)
Lineage: Eukaryota; Metazoa; Chordata; Mammalia; Rodentia; Muridae
Description: long non-coding RNA NONRATT003646
Source: RNAcentral
GAUGUUUUCAUGGUACACUGGGUGACUGUGCAUGCGUCUCAGUGAGGACUUUGGGAAGAGAUCAUAACCUGAACUGAAGAAUGUUGAAUAGUGUCCCAAAUGCCUUUUAAUCAGUUUUCAUGAUGAGCAAAUAAAUCAACUUAGAAGUGGACUUCAGCACCUUCCUAUUCUCUGGCCUUCACCGGUCAUGGUGUGUAGGAAGCUGGUGAUGGUGUUGGGAAGAGGAUUUCACAGCUCAGUGAAGCGAUCCCCGUGACCAGGAACGACAAAUAGCAACAAGCUAGAAGAAGGCACAGUAGCCUCAGACCAUGGAGCUGCCCAGCUGUCAUGUGACCAUCACCUCAAGAGACCUCAGCUUCCCAGUGGCAGGAAACCAUAGCAUCUAUGUGUUUGUGAAUAGAAAGGCACUCUGCUGACAUUGAUGAAAUGAACCUCAUGUUCAGGUCCUCUCCCACCCCAGUUCUAACACUGAAAUCCUAAUCUGCACGGUGAUGAUGUUCAAGAGGUGAGAUCUCUAGGAGCUAAUUAUGUCAUGAGGGCUGAACCCUCAAGUAUGGGGCCUGCUUGAAUUAAAAUACCAAUAAAAAGGAAACCCUAGAGAGGUCCUCAGUGUCUUUCAUCAGGUAAGGUCCCAGUGAAAAGGACCAUUGCAGCCACAGAACUUCAGAUGUGCUUAGAGAUGAAAUUGUCAUAAAAUAGGGAGUGGAGAGAGUUAUAAUUAAUUUUCUGUAUUUUCCUGUGAAGUCUAGAUUCCAUCAAUCCCGACUCAUCUUCAUCAUGGAACAUUUAUUAAGAUUGAGGAUCUGGACUGAGUUCUAAGAAU